RNAcentral lists this ribosomal RNA (253 nucleotides) under uncultured bacterium. Its description in RNAcentral is "partial 16S ribosomal RNA". It matches the Rfam family "Bacterial small subunit ribosomal RNA", at positions 524 to 776 of the family's 1533-position model. The record is from RNAcentral.
UACAGAGGUCCCAAGCGUUGUUCGGAUUCAUUGGGCGUAAAGGGUGUGUAGGAGGCGCCGUAAGUCGGGUGUGAAAUCUCGGGGCUUAACUCCGAAACUGCAUUCGAUACUGCGGUGCUUGAGGACUGGAGAGGAGACUGGAAUUCAUGGUGUAGCAGUGAAAUGCGUAGAUAUCUGGAGGAACACCGGUGGCGAAGGCGGCAUCCUGGACCGACACUGACACUGAGGAGCGAAAGCCAGGGGAGCAAACGGG